This is a long non-coding RNA of Oryzias javanicus (javanese ricefish), 3464 nucleotides long. The record is from Ensembl. Lineage: Eukaryota; Metazoa; Chordata; Actinopteri; Beloniformes; Adrianichthyidae.
ACCUUCUCCAUGUCAUUCCAACCUCAAGACUUCCCAAUCCUACGUGCUCUCAUCUACUCACUCUAAAUCCAGUAACAGAGACUCUCAUCCCCGAUCAUAUCCAUCUACCUACAGUUUCGGCUACAAACGGCCCCCUUCCUCCACAUCUCAUCUUCUUCCCCUCGCGGCGGCUACCAUUCCAGAUCCAACUCCUCCUCCGACCAGCAGAAGAGCCGCCACCACACCCGUCACCCUCACAAGGGCUCGGCGUUGAGGAACCGCAGCUCCAAGAGGCGCGGCGAGCGCUCGGGGAGGGAGGUUGGGGCUCGCCACACGCAGACGCUGCAAACAGCCGCCUGGAGCUAGACGUGCAGCUCUACCUGCAGUGGAGGAAGGAGUUCCAAGACUGGUACGACAAAUGCUACGCCCACUUCCACCAGCUGCCCUUCCCUCCUCCUCCUCUUCCUCCUCAUCCUCAGGAGUCUCACGAUUCAGGUCGGAACAAUGGCAGGACGAACAACCGCUCGCCUUUGUCCGAGCGCUCCAGCUUCAGCCGCUCCCCUUCCUCUCAGUCCUUGACUGACAGCCGCUCCACCACGUCCUGCACAUCCAGCAGCAGCUGCUCUGAUAAGGCCAGCGAAGGUCACUCCCCUCCCUCUCGGACGUCCAGCGGCGGUCGCCGCACGCCAUCGGACGACAAAUCCCAGCUGAGGGAACUUCCAGAGAAGAAUACAGCAAUACCUCAACAAAAAACAGGCGGGAAGCAACAGCUCAGCCCACAGACUCACAACCGAAGGGAUGAAAAGGUGUUUCAGAGCCGAGGGCGGGACAGGGCUUCAUCUCCAGAUCAGAGCAAAGGAGAGAAUCAAACUGAAACAACCAGCAGGAAUCCUUCAGACUCAGUCCAGCCUCUCAUGAAACUGGAAAAACCUUUAGACAAAAAGAGAGAGCAGGAAAAAAAAUCCAAAGAAGGCAAGAGUUUGCAAAGAAACCAAAGCAGGAAGAGAGAAAGCAAAGAAAAAGAACGGGAGGAGAAAAAUCAAAGAAUUAAAAGCAACUCAAAGAGUGAAACAGGAAGUGCAGAACAAAAGAAAAUAAUAAUGAGAAAAAGAAAAAGGGAAGACUCAGAGAAUCUUGAAAGGAGAAGUGGACCUCAAAGCAGCACAUCCCAGAAAACCACAGAAAACCCUGAAAGCAACAGAAACAAGAAGUCUCCAACUCCUUCUGAUAGGAAGAAGAAAAAUGUAGAGAAGAAGGAGAGAACAUCUUUGACAGAGAAAGACAUCUGGGAAGGAGGGAUGAAAGUGAUGCCCCAGAAGAAGAUAAGCAUCAACAUCAACUUGGAAGGAAAAGUGAAGGAGAGAAAUGACGAAGAAAAAUCCUCCGGUUUUGACAUGAAUGUUGAGGAAAAGACAGCGGAGGCUGACGGAGGAGAAGAGAAUCAGGAUGGAGAGGAAGCAGAAGACAGAACGGAUGAACUGAAAGACUCAAAUCCGGAAGAUAAAGAGCAAAUCAAAUCGAAUGAAAAGAAAGCUUCAGAUAAGGAGGAAGAGUGCAGAAAAAAGUUGGAAGAAGAGCAAAGCCACACCGAAAAGGAAGAUCUUGAUUUGUGGCACUGCGCCCUCUAUACUGCAGGAGAGGAUGAGACGGGAGAAGAAACAGCCGAGCGAGUAGGGGAUGAAAAAGGUGACGAUUUAGUCCAAGAAAGAAAAGCUGAACCAAGGAACAGAGAGGCUGCAGGGAAAUCCACGUCAAAGAGUCUCCACCAGGGGCAGAAGAAGAGCCGGGAUGAUGGGAGCUGUGGAGGAGGGGGCCGUCUGGAAAAGAAGAGGACAGGGAAAAUGGAGGAGGAAAACGGGCAGGAGCGAGAUGAAGCCAUGCAGAGUGAUAGCACGAAGGUUCCUUGUGUUGAUGAGCAGAAGAUUGAAGAGAAGGUUGAAGGACAGAUCAAAGCGGACUCUAGUUCUCCCGCUGCGGUUCCUCCUGAUCCUUCAGAACCAAAGAACAACAUGGAAACGGGGGAGCAGAGUAAACAACGGGAGCAGCAAAGAGGGAGGGAUAAGGAUUUGGCUCCCUCUAGUGGCAGGAAGAGGAGCUUGAGCCCAAACCGAGAUGAAGAAAGAAGGGAGAGAAACAGCAGAAGGAGGGAGAAUGACACCCAACAGGAAAGCACGCGAUCAAAACCUGGAACAAGAGAAGAGGAAAGAAGAAAAUCCACCUCUGUGCCAAAGAUAAAUCUGCCCUCUUUAUUGUCACAGGAAGUAGAAAAGAGGGAGCAGCAGCAGUAUAGAGGUGGCCAUUCUAGUAGAAAAACUUCUUGCACCUACAAAGAAAAGGAAAGCGGCUCUGUUGGUGAAGUGAGCAGCCUCCCUUAUCACGGUGCAUCCAAAACGCAGAGAGACAACGACCGCAUUCCGCCGCGCCACCUACCACCCAUCAAUCAGCCAAAGAGAAGCUCGAAGCCACCACUCUCCACCUCCCCUCUUUCACUUCGAUUCCUUCGGGGGCCUUCCCCGGGGGGGCCCCGACUGGCCCCCGACGCAGCGCAAAAGUCGAAACGAGAAAGGAGAGCGCAGGUCAGACGGUGGUCAGUCAGCGAGCAAAGAGCGGAGGAGUCGAAGAGAUGAGGAGGAGAGGCAGCGACCCGCCAGGAGCGGCGACGCUCGCUCAUCAGAGAGCAGUCGAGGGAGGAGGCACAAGAGGGAAACGUCGCACAACUGCAGGAGCGGCCAGACGCGGGAAACGCAAAUGUGAUGAGCAGAAUAAAAUGAAGAAAAGACCAAAACGUUUACUUAAUGUUUUUCCUUUCCCCAACCAUCAAGUGCCUGUUUCUAUUUCAUUAGCUUUAGUUUCUUUAUUUCAUCUGCUCAGAUCUUGACAAAUACAAAAACUAUAAAGGUGAACGCACUUUACGGAACACACGACCCCCGUGAGUUUAAUUUAAAAGAAUUUGCAAGGGCGCCACUUCCUUUUUUUAGUACCUUGGGUUCCGCAAGGUUCCAGCUGGAAUGUGAAGAACGCUGACGGAAACGGUCAGUAAUUUGAUUUGCCUGUCAUGGGUUGUGAAUCCGCCACCAUCCAAGAAAGCUGUGAUUUAUUUCUGGGAGUGCUUAUGAUUUCAGCCACUGUACUUGAAUUUUUUUUUUUCUUUCUUUGCUUUUGUAAGUGUUUGUUUUAAUUACAGCUGCUGACCAGAAUAAUAAUUUAUGAGAGGACUGUUUAUUUCCUGAAUUUGAGGAUAUAUAAAGAAAAACAUGCAAAUCAGCAUUUGCUGUGUUUGUCUUUAUUGCGCCAUCUGUUGGUGAUGCAACUUAAAACUUUUUUUUAGAACUGGAGGUCACUUCUUGGAAUAUUCAUCAGAAAUCUCUGGAAAACGACACACGUUUUGUUUAACUAUGUCCCCCAGCAUUCCUGGACUGCAAGGACCAGAAUGUUUUUGCCAUUUAUUUUUUCUUUUAACUGCACCUUUGUGCAAAGAUUUUGCC